Molecule: ribosomal RNA, 480 nt
Filed under: uncultured bacterium
Lineage: Bacteria
Description: bacterial SSU rRNA
Rfam family: Bacterial small subunit ribosomal RNA
Source: RNAcentral
AAAGGAAUAGACGGGAACCCGCACAAGCAGUGGAGCGCCUGGUUUAAUUCGAUGCUAAUCGAAAAAUCUCACCUAGGUUUGAACUGUAGUUACUACGCUUAUGAAAGUAGGCCGCUGGGUUUGAUACUAUAGAGGUGCUGCAUGGCUGCCGUCAGCUCGUGUCGUGAGAUGUAGGGUUAAGUCCCACAACGAGCGCAACCCCUAUUCAGUGUUACAAUUUCGCUGAAAACUGCCCCGCCCAAACGGGGAGGAAGGAGGGGACGACGACCAGUCAGCAUGGCCCUUAUGUCUAGGGCUACACAGACGCUACAAUGGCCAGUACAACGGGCAGCCAAGGAGUGAUCCGGAGCUAAUCCCAUCAAAACUGGUCUCAGUUCAGAUUGUAGGCUGGAACUCGCCUACAUGAAGUCGGAAUUGCUAGUAAUCGCGUAUCAGAAUGGCGCGGUGAAUACGUUCUCGGGUUUUGUACACACCGCCCGU